RNAcentral lists this ribosomal RNA (465 nucleotides) under Salmonella enterica subsp. enterica serovar Typhimurium. Its description in RNAcentral is "partial 23S ribosomal RNA". It matches the Rfam family "Bacterial large subunit ribosomal RNA", at positions 108 to 613 of the family's 2925-position model. Lineage: Bacteria; Pseudomonadati; Pseudomonadota; Gammaproteobacteria; Enterobacterales; Enterobacteriaceae. The record is from RNAcentral.
CGAUACCCGAAUGGGGAAACCCAGUGUGAUUCGUCACACUAUCAUUAACUGAAUCCAUAGGUUAAUGAGGCGAACCGGGGGAACUGAAACAUCUAAGUACCCCGAGGAAAAGAAAUCAACCGAGAUUCCCCCAGUAGCGGCGAGCGAACGGGGAGGAGCCCAGAGCCUGAAUCAGCAUGUGUGUUAGUGGAAGCGUCUGGAAAGGCGCGCGAUACAGGGUGACAGCCCCGUACACAAAAGCGCAUGUGCUGUGAGCUCGAUGAGUAGGGCGGGACACGUGGUAUCCUGUCUGAAUAUGGGGGGACCAUCCUCCAAGGCUAAAUACUCCUGACUGACCGAUAGUGAACCAGUACCGUGAGGGAAAGGCGAAAAGAACCCCGGCGAGGGGAGUGAAAAAGAACCUGAAACCGUGUACGUACAAGCAGUGGGAGCACCCUUCGGGGUGUGACUGCGUACCUUUUGUAU